GAAACUGUAGCUCAGUUGGUAGAGUAGUAGAUCUAGAGAGACGAUAGAAUUCGGGUCAUACCCGGUGGUCAUUGGUUCGAAUCCAAUCAGUUUCAC
Molecule: transfer RNA, 96 nt
Filed under: Sphingomonas phage PAU
Lineage: Duplodnaviria; Heunggongvirae; Uroviricota; Caudoviricetes
Description: tRNA-Ser
Rfam family: tRNA
About the family: Transfer RNA (tRNA) molecules are approximately 80 nucleotides in length. Their secondary structure includes four short double-helical elements and three loops (D, anti-codon, and T loops).
Source: RNAcentral